This 821-nucleotide ribosomal RNA is filed under the name Lactobacillus delbrueckii subsp. bulgaricus. Its description in RNAcentral is "bacterial SSU rRNA". It matches the Rfam family "Bacterial small subunit ribosomal RNA", at positions 31 to 821 of the family's 1533-position model. The record is from RNAcentral. Lineage: Bacteria; Bacillati; Bacillota; Bacilli; Lactobacillales; Lactobacillaceae.
GCACGCUGGCGGCGUGCCUAAUACAUGCAAGUCGAGCGAGCUGAAUUCAAAGAUUCCUUCGGGAUGAUUUGUUGGACGCUAGCGGCGGAUGGGUGAGUAACACGUGGGCAAUCUGCCCUAAAGACUGGGAUACCACUUGGAAACAGGUGCUAAUACCGGAUAACAACAUGAAUCGCAUGAUUCAAGUUUGAAAGGCGGCGUAAGCUGUCACUUUAGGAUGAGCCCGCGGCGCAUUAGCUAGUUGGUGGGGUAAAGGCCUACCAAGGCAAUGAUGCGUAGCCGAGUUGAGAGACUGAUCGGCCACAUUGGGACUGAGACACGGCCCAAACUCCUACGGGAGGCAGCAGUAGGGAAUCUUCCACAAUGGACGCAAGUCUGAUGGAGCAACGCCGCGUGAGUGAAGAAGGUUUUCGGAUCGUAAAGCUCUGUUGUUGGUGAAGAAGGAUAGAGGCAGUAACUGGUCUUUAUUUGACGGUAAUCAACCAGAAAGUCACGGCUAACUACGUGCCAGCAGCCGCGGUAAUACGUAGGUGGCAAGCGUUGUCCGGAUUUAUUGGGCGUAAAGCGAGCGCAGGCGGAAUGAUAAGUCUGAUGUGAAAGCCCACGGCUCAACCGUGGAACUGCAUCGGAAACUGUCAUUCUUGAGUGCAGAAGAGGAGAGUGGAAUUCCAUGUGUAGCGGUGGAAUGCGUAGAUAUAUGGAAGAACACCAGUGGCGAAGGCGGCUCUCUGGUCUGCAACUGACGCUGAGGCUCGAAAGCAUGGGUAGCGAACAGGAUUAGAUACCCUGGUAGUCCAUGCCGUAAACGAUGAGCGCUAGGU